AUACGGAGGAUGCGAGCGUUAUCCGGAUUUAUUGGGUUUAAAGGGAGCGUAGGUGGGAUAUUAAGUCAGCUGUGAAAGUUUGGGGCUCAACCUUAAAAUUGCAGUUGAUACUGGUUUCCUUGAGUACGGUACAGGUGGGCGGAAUUCGUGGUGUAGCGGUGAAAUGCUUAGAUAUCACGAAGAACUCCGAUCGCGAAGGCAGCUCACCGGGCCGGAACUGACACUGAUGCUCGAAAGUGCGGGUAUCAAACAGGAUUAGAUACCCUGGUAGUCCGCACAGUAAACGAUGAAUACUCGCUGUUUGCGAUACACGGUAAACGGCCAAGCGAAAGCGUUAAGUAUUCCACCUGGGGAGUACGCCGGCAACGGUGAAACUCAAAUGAAUUGACGGGG
Molecule: ribosomal RNA, 393 nt
Filed under: uncultured bacterium
Lineage: Bacteria
Description: partial 16S ribosomal RNA
Rfam family: Bacterial small subunit ribosomal RNA
Source: RNAcentral